AGGGAUGGUUGCCAGCAGAUCUAGGCCUUGCCGUCGAGAAGAUGAUUCGGGAGAUCAGGAUGUCCCUGUCUGAAAGAUCUCCCUCUGCUCAGGACAAUGUCAGUGUUGCCCCCGAUUCCUCAGGAGGGGAGCCUGUGGACAGAGCUGCAGCAGAGGAAGCUGCAUCUGGCACCGAGAGCUGCAGGAACGGUUCCCAGGAGCCCGAGGAGCCUGAUGCCAUCUGACCAACAUCUCCAGGAGGGCUGCCCUGCGUGGCAGGAGGAGACAGAGGAGAGCCCGUGACCAUCGGGCAGGUAGAAUUCCUCUGCUUGUAAAUAUGUUUAUAGAUUCCUAUGAUUUUACUUAUCAAAGGGUAUAGUUCUGUUUACAGAUUAGAGUGUUCUGUUUAUAUGUGCAUAUAUUGAUAGAUCUGUAGAGUUAAAUGGGGAUAUGUAUUCAGUUAGACAAGUGAUAUAUUUUAUUAUAAAUUUACCUUUAUAGAUUUUCAGAGUUUAAAUUUUUUUGUGUAGAGUCCAAAAAAAAAAUAUAGAUGAAGUUUCAUUUAUAAAUGAGUAUAGUUAUAGAGUAAGAAGGAUAUGAAUGUUUAGAUGAAUAGGUUGCGGUUUGCCUAGGCCUAGGCUGCAUUUUUACCUCUUUCCCCCUUCACCUGCCUUUCUCACCUCUUGCUUUUCCCCCUGUGCCCCCUGUGUCCCCUCUCCCUGUGCUGGGUCCGAGGUGGCGGCCGGGCCGGCCAGAGCAGCACUUCCAGCCCCGGCUGUCCCUGGAGCGGUGGGAGCUGCCGCUGGCCCCAGGCACUGUCCCCUGAGGAGCUGCUGAAGGACGCUGCAUGGAAGACCUUGAGGACAGCCAGAGCCUGAUGGGAGCCAGCAGAGAGAAGCUGAAGGCCAGCAGCAGGAGCAGGGAAUGGGGACCUGCUGCUGCCACCCUGGAGAGAGCUUGGAUGUCCCAUCUGCUGUCCCUGUCCAGGAGAGCUGCUCUGCACGGGAGGAGAAGACCGAGGGAGAGGCUUUGAAGAUGAGGCAGCUGGGAUCCUUCUGCUUUUUGUGCUGUUUAAUUAUAUAUGGACUAGCAUGGAGUUACUGAUAAUUACAUGCAUAUUUUCAUAUGUAGCUUGCUAUUUGUAUUGGUAUAUUUCUGUAUGUAUCUUGUUAUUUUUAUGAAUGUACUCUCUAUGUACGUAUAGAUAUAUACAUACAGGUUUGCAGUUACGUAUUUAUGUAAAUACGUAUCUACUUUUUUAUGUAUGUUGUAAUAUCUGUG
Long non-coding RNA from Haemorhous mexicanus (house finch), 1260 nucleotides. RefSeq lists it as uncharacterized. The transcript is spliced from 5 exons. NCBI's taxonomy places the organism in Eukaryota, Metazoa, Chordata, Aves, Passeriformes, Fringillidae. The record is from RefSeq and is a predicted model, not a curated record.